Molecule: long non-coding RNA, 876 nt
Organism: Mesocricetus auratus (golden hamster)
Lineage: Eukaryota; Metazoa; Chordata; Mammalia; Rodentia; Cricetidae
Exons: 2
Source: RefSeq, a predicted model, not a curated record
CUAACCCCCUCUCCCCCGCCUUUCUUCCGCUGCUCUGACACAGCAAGUCUGAAGCCUCAGUCAAGGCCUGCCACAUUGUGAGCAUGUACAAGACAAGGGACUUCAGGGCGGCAGCUAGUGCCAUGGCAGAGAAGCGGCCUUUCCCUGUUCCCAGCCUCCUCGUGAGAAGCCUGGUCCUCCAAGGUCAGCUUCCAGCACCGACAGGCUCAUUUCAGUCUGCAGCCCAUGAAAGAGAGAAAAAAAGUGAAAGUAAACGUGCCCCGUUUGACAGGAUGGAGAGGCAUCCGGGCUCCUGUGGGGAUACCAGAUCUUGUCUGUCACCCAUGGAACAGUCACUAGAAAAGAUAAUGUGAGGAAAAGAAGAAGAAGAAGAAGAAGAAGAAGAAGAAGAAGAAGAAGAAGAAGAAGAAGAAGAAGAAGAAGAAGAAGAAGAAGAAGGAUCUUGCUGGGGUCAACAUGAAGGAAAGAAGAUGAAUUCCUUAAACUUUCUUUUAAAAUUCCACUUUAUUUUUGUGUCUGUGUGUGCAUGUGUUUACAUGUCAUCUUGACACAGGCUGGGGUCACUGAAAGGAGGAAGCCUCGUUUGAGGAAAUACCUCCAUAACAUCCAGCAGUCGGACAUUUCCUUAAUUAACAUUGAUGUGGGAGGAUCCCAGACCAUUGUGGGUAGGGUCAUCCCUGUGCUAGUGGUCCUGGGUUGUAUAGGAAAGCAGGCUGAGAAUGUCUUGAGGAACCAGCCAGUAAACCACACCCCUCUGAGGCCUCUGCAUCAGCUCCUGCCUCCAGGCUCCUGCCCUGUUUGAAUUCUUGUCCUGACUUCCUUCGCUGAUGAACAGUGAUACAGAUGUCUGUGUCAAAUAAACCCUUUCCUUCCCUA